AGCAGUAGCCACGGUAAUACGUAGGUGGCAAGCGUUGUCCGGAAUUAUUGGGCGUAAAGCGCGCGCAGGCGGAUAGGUCAGUCUGUCUUAAAAGUUCGGGGCUUAACCCCGUGAUGGGAUGGAAACUGCCAAUCUAGAGUAUCGGAGAGGAAAGUGGAAUUCCUAGUGUAGCGGUGAAAUGCGUAGAUAUUAGGAAGAACACCAGUGGCGAAGGCGACUUUCUGGACGAAAACUGACGCUGAGGCGCGAAAGCCAGGGGAGCGAACGGGAUUAGAUACCCCAGUAGUCCCUGUCUCUUAUACA
RNAcentral lists this ribosomal RNA (303 nucleotides) under uncultured bacterium. RNAcentral's name for it is "partial 16S ribosomal RNA". It matches the Rfam family "Bacterial small subunit ribosomal RNA", at positions 507 to 809 of the family's 1533-position model. The record is from RNAcentral.